AGUGGGGAAUAUUGCACAAUGGAGGAAACUCUGAUGCAGCAACGCCGCGUGGAGGAUGACGCAUUUCGGUGUGUAAACUCCUUUUAUAUAGGAAGAUAAUGACGGUACUAUAUGAAUAAGCACCGGCUAACUCCGUGCCAGCAGCCGCGGUAAUACGGAGGGUGCAAGCGUUACUCGGAAUCACUGGGCGUAAAGCGCAUGCAGGCGGUUUAUUAAGUUGGAAGUGAAAUCCUAUGGCUCAACCAUAGAACUGCUUCCAAAACUGAUAAACUAGAGUCUGGGAGGGGAAGAUGGAAUUAGUAGUGUAGGGGUAAAAUCCGUAGAGAUUACUAGGAAUACCAAAAGCGAAGGCGAUCUUCUGGAACAGUACUGACGCUGAGAUGCGAAAGCGUGGGGAGCAAACAGGAUUAGAUACCCUGGUAGUCCACGCAGUAAACGAUGAAUGUUAGUCGUUGGGACUCUAGUAGUUUCAGUGAUGCAGUUAACACAUUAAACAUUCCGCCUGGGGAGUACGGUCGCAAGAUUAAAACUCAAAGGAAUAGACGGGGACCCGCACAAGUGGUGGAGCAUGUGGUUUAAUUCGAAGAUACGCGAAGAACCUUACCUAGCCUUGACAUACUACAGAAUUUGACAGAGAUGUUGGAGUGCCUUCGGGAGCUGUAAUACAGGUGCUGCACGGCUGUCGUCAGCUCGUGUCGUGAGAUGUUGGGUUAAGUCCCGCAACGAGCGCAACCCUCGUCCUUAGUUACUAACGGUUCGGCCGAGGACUCUAAGGAGACUGCCUUCGUAAGGAGGAGGAAGGUGAGGACGACGUCAAGUCAUCAUGGCCCUUACGGCUAGGGCAACACACGUGCUACAAUGGUUAGGACAAUGAGAAGCGAUACCGCGAGGUGGAGCAAAUCUAUAAACCUAAUCUCAGUUCGGAUAGCAGUCUGCAAGCUCGACUGCUUGAAGCUGGAAUCACUAGUAAUCGUUAAAAGGGUAUGUUACGGUGAAUACGU
This 1001-nucleotide ribosomal RNA is filed under the name uncultured bacterium. Its description in RNAcentral is "bacterial SSU rRNA". It matches the Rfam family "Bacterial small subunit ribosomal RNA", at positions 353 to 1371 of the family's 1533-position model. The record is from RNAcentral.